AGGACGAACGCUGGCGGCGUGCUUAACACAUGCAAGUCGAGCGGAAAGGCCCUUCGGGGUACUCGAGCGGCGAACGGGUGAGUAACACGUGAGCAAUCUGCCCCUAGCUCUGGGAUAGCUCCGGGAAAACCGGGAUUAAUACCAGAUACAACCACUUUAGACAUCUUUUGUGGUGGAAAGGAUUCCGGCUAGGGAUGAGCUCGCGGCCUAUCAGCUUGUUGGUUGGGGUAACGGCCCACCAAGGCGACGACGGGUAGCCGGCCUGAGAGGGCGACCGGCCACACUGGGACUGAGACACGGCCCAGACUCCUACGGGAGGCAGCAGUGGGGAAUAUUGCGCAAUGGGCGAAAGCCUGACGCAGCGACGCCGCGUGGGGGAUGAAGGCCUUCGGGUUGUAAACCCCUUUCAGCAGGGACGAAGCGAAAGUGACGGUACCUGCAGAAGAAGCACCGGCUAACUACGUGCCAGCAGCCGC
RNAcentral lists this ribosomal RNA (476 nucleotides) under uncultured bacterium. RNAcentral describes it as "SSU rRNA". It matches the Rfam family "Bacterial small subunit ribosomal RNA", at positions 26 to 518 of the family's 1533-position model. The record is from RNAcentral.